This 208-nucleotide ribosomal RNA is filed under the name uncultured bacterium. RNAcentral describes it as "partial 16S ribosomal RNA". It matches the Rfam family "Bacterial small subunit ribosomal RNA", at positions 568 to 774 of the family's 1533-position model. The record is from RNAcentral.
CUCGUAGGCGGCUUGUCGCGUCGACUGUGAAAACCCGCGGCUCAACCGUGUGGUCUGCAGUCGAUACGGGCAGGCUAGAGUUCGGUAGGGGAGACUGGAAUUCCUGGUGUAGCGGUGAAAUGCGCAGAUAUCAGGAGGAACACCGGUGGCGAAGGCGGGUCUCUGGGCCGAUACUGACGCUGAGGAGCGAAAGCGUAGGGAGCGAACA